CCUACGGGAGGCAGCAGUGAGGAAUAUUGGUCAAUGGACGAGAGUCUGAACCAGCCAAGUAGCGUGAAGGAUGACUGCCCUAUGGGUUGUAAACUUCUUUUAUAUGGGAAUAAAAUGUUCCACGUGUGGGAUUUUGUAUGUACCCUAUGAAUAAUGAUCGGCUAACUCCGUGCCAGCAGCCGCGGUAAUACGGAGGAUCCGAGCGUUAUCCGGAUUUAUUGGGUUUAACGGGAGCGUAGGUGGAUUGUUAGGUCAGUUGUGAAAGUUUGCGGCUCAACCGUAAAAUUGCAGUUGAAACUGGCAGUCUUGAGUACAGUAGAGGUGGGCGGAAUUCGUGGUGUAGCGGUGAAAUGCUUAGAUAUCACGAAGAACUCCGAUUGCGAAGGCAGUUCACUGGACUGCAACUGACACUGAGGCUCGAAAGUGUGGGUAUCAAACAGGAUUAGAUACCCUUGUAGUC
RNAcentral lists this ribosomal RNA (460 nucleotides) under uncultured bacterium. RNAcentral describes it as "partial 16S ribosomal RNA". It matches the Rfam family "Bacterial small subunit ribosomal RNA", at positions 338 to 795 of the family's 1533-position model. The record is from RNAcentral.